GAUAAGUCAUGAUGAUGUUUGAAACAUCAUCAUGAUGGUUUUGUUUUGUAGAAGAAAAGAAAGGAACGGAUGGAGAAGAAGAAAAGAAAGGAAUAAAAAAAGAAAAGAAGGAAUAAAAAAAUUUAAAAGAAGAAUAAGAGGAGACCUCGUGGAGGAUACAAGCUGCCUUUGGCAGCGUGGCAGUUAGGCGUGGGGAGAGAAGCAAAGCUGCCUUUGCAGCUGGGCAGAGAGCAAAUGGAGAGCAGAAAAACAAGAAGAAGAAAAAUAGAGAGCUCACGCCACUGCUUGGCAAGGGAAAGCGGAAACCUCUGCACUCUCUUAUUUCGGUUCUAUUUUCCUAAACUCAUGUUUAACUUUUGGUUUAAUUUGAGAAUAAUGUGUAACUAAUUUUAUUUUAGCUAGAGGUUAAUUCAAAGCCAUGAAUAUAUUUGUAAUAUGAAUUGAUUACUUUCAGUUGUGAUUUCUGAGUUGUGAUUUAAUUUGCUUAACUGCUUGAUUGAUAACUUAUUUUGUAUGUCGAUUAAGAAUGCAUACUUAAUUUACAUGCAUGAAUUUGAUGCUAGAAUAUAAGUGAAUUUCACCUAAUCGUUAUGAACUUAUAUUCACAAGUAGUGAAGGUUGUUAUCCACAAUCGUGUUAAGUGAAUUCUUGGCAAGAGUAUCAUGCUUUUCAUAGUUACGAAUGCCUCGUCAAUGCUUAUAGUUUUCACAAAGUUUAAUGAUCUUUGAUUGUAUCUCUAUUGUGCUUUUCACGUAGGGGACUUUUGAAGAAUGUUUUGAAUUGUUGUAUGCGUUUUCCCGUCCAAUUCAAUAACUUAAGGAAAACUUGAAGAUUAAAAAAGUGCUGUUCACGGUUAAUCUGAAGUGUUGAGAUUCACAAUUUAUUGAAAGAACAACUGAAAAUCAAUUUAGGUUGCAUAUGUGUCAUGUGUGGAGAAAAACCCUCUAGCUAGUCCGUAACCUAUCCUUUCACCUUAAUUUCAUGUUUUUGUCAAUUCUGUAAUUUAUUUAAGUUUAAUUUACUUCUCGUCAAAACCAAACACCCCCCAUUAUUAAAUUAUAUUAUUUAGUUAGUUUUCAUUGUUGUUAGUCUUUUAAUUCAAUUUCCGUCCAUUUCAGUUCCUAGUGUCUAAAUUGAGUGUUUCCAUUAUUUUGAGUCAUUCUAAGUGUGUUUCAAGUUAUUAGAGUUUUUAGCCUAGUUUUGUGUCCUUGAGUCUUAUUAAUAUUUUUUAAAUUAAUUUAGAAUAGAUUAGCAAUCCCUCCUAAUCCCCGGCCUAGAACGAUACCCUACUUACAUACUUUACUACAAUUGUCAAAAAGAGGGUUUAAUUUGUGUGUCAAGUAAUUUUACGCAUCACACCUCCAAGCCCUUUGCUCCUUGAAAUCCUUGAGCCUAGCUUCC
Molecule: long non-coding RNA, 1401 nt
Filed under: Malus domestica (apple)
Lineage: Eukaryota; Viridiplantae; Streptophyta; Magnoliopsida; Rosales; Rosaceae
Description: long non-coding RNA (MDOM_LNC008414)
Source: RNAcentral